RNAcentral lists this ribosomal RNA (431 nucleotides) under uncultured bacterium. Its description in RNAcentral is "partial 16S ribosomal RNA". It matches the Rfam family "Bacterial small subunit ribosomal RNA", at positions 29 to 507 of the family's 1533-position model. The record is from RNAcentral.
AACGAACGCUGGCGGCAGGCUUAACACAUGCAAGUCGAACGCCCCGCAAGGGGAGUGGCAGACGGGUGAGUAACGCGUGGGAACAUACCCUUUUCUACGGAAUAGCUCUGGGAAACUGGAAUUAAUACCGUAUACGCCCUACGGGGGAAAGAUUUAUCGGGGAAGGAUUGGCCCGCGUUGGAUUAGCUAGUUGGUGGGGUAAAGGCCUACCAAGGCGACGAUCCAUAGCUGGUCUGAGAGGAUGAUCAGCCACAUUGGGACUGAGACACGGCCCAAACUCCGAAGGGAGGAAGCAGUGGGAAAGAUUGGACAAUGGGGGCAAGCAUGAUCCAGCCAUGCCGGGUGAGUGAUGAAGGCCUUAGGGUUGUAAAGCUCUUUCACCGAUGAAGAAAAUGACGGUAGUAGGAGAAGAAGCCCCGGCUAAAUUCGUG